GUGCGCUGUACGUGUGCUUCCCCAGUGUCAGGGGACAGCCAAUCCUUGGGGCAGGAGCCUGCUCUUUCUCUAGGGGAGAAUCUGCAUCCCAGGCAGGAGAGGGGCAAAAGAAAAGAGAAGCCGGGAGAAAGGAUGGGGAGGAAAUGCAGGCUUGCUGGCCUUGGUAGGUCAUUCUUUUGACCUUGCUUCCUUCUCAGAACACUGUGAACUUGUUUACAAAACUUCUAGGCAAGGGUCAAGGCAACUGGUCUGGAUUACGUCUUUCAACGAGGACCUUUCAGGAUGCAUACCACGCGAGAGGAAUGGAGGGAGGUCUGACAGGCGGGGAAUCCAAUCUGAGCUGCUCCCACUCAAAAAAGGAGACAUUCCGUCAACAAAUAGCAAGGCCCAACCUGUUCCAGAAGCAGUGAACAUGAGACAGCCUAUGUCCCCAGGAAGCCCCCAGCAGGGGACAAGGACAGUCUACAGAUGCACACACGGGCCAUCAGAAUACAGCAGGAGAUGAGCUCUGAUGAGGAAAGGGAGUGCUAUGGGAGAGAGAUCACUGAUCCACCCUGGGGAACAGGAGGCUCGCCAGCCUUCCCCAAAGGUUGGCAAUACCUCAAGUACAUAAAGGGGUUUCUCAUAAAUAAGGGAAUUCCAGGAGCUCCAUUUCCUUCAAAGCAAAAACGAAAGGUAUUUUCCCAAAAUACAAAGCGCCUACAACUUGAAAAAAUGUACACAGCUUUUAAUGAAAGAAAAGCUGAGUCUGGUCUCCAGGGUUUCCAUGCCUGCCCUCUGUACUCUGUUAGAUACUGAGACCUCAAUGGAGGCGGGUGCAACUUGAAGAUCUGAAGGAAAAGCC
This 844-nucleotide long non-coding RNA is filed under the name Homo sapiens (human). RNAcentral describes it as "HSALNT0027652". Lineage: Eukaryota; Metazoa; Chordata; Mammalia; Primates; Hominidae. The record is from RNAcentral.